RNAcentral lists this long non-coding RNA (365 nucleotides) under Triticum aestivum (bread wheat). RNAcentral's name for it is "long non-coding RNA (TAES_LNC005531)". Lineage: Eukaryota; Viridiplantae; Streptophyta; Magnoliopsida; Poales; Poaceae. The record is from RNAcentral.
UCCAAUGAGGAUUGUCUUGCUUACAUGAGCAUUGAUGCUACUUGGUGUGAUGGGCAUAAUAAUGGUUUUAUUUUUUAGUUUUGAGAUUUCAAAGAGGGUCACUCAACGAAAGGUUAUCAUUCAUCACUGUAACCCAGUCUUCUGCAAACUUGUUGAGUAUCCAUGUAAUUAUGAUUAAUUCUUGGUGUUAAUGGACCCUGUAUAUUUAUAUAGCAAUGCUUGUUUUUUUAACUCAAAAAUUCACAGGAGAGUUUCAAAGCUGCUUUCAAGGAAGUCUAUAGACUAAACAAAGUUUCUGUCACGACAACUAACUCAAUGGUAUGAAAUAUGCCAUAGAGGAUGGCUAUUCCAUGAUGAAACAUGAG